UAGGGAAUCUUCCGCAAUGGACGCAAGUCUGACGGAGCAACGCCGCGUGAGUGAAGAAGGAUUUCGGUUCGUAAAACUCUGUUGUUAGAGAAGAACAGCGCAUAGAGUAACUGUUAUGCGUGUGACGGUAUCUAACCAGAAAGCCACGGCUAACUACGUGCCAGCAGCCGCGGUAAUACGUAGGUGGCAAGCGUUGUCCGGAUUUAUUGGGCGUAAAGCGAGCGCAGGCGGUCAAUUAAGUCUGAUGUGAAAGCCCCCGGCUCAACCGGGGAGGGUCAUUGGAAACUGGUUGGCUUGAGUGCAGAAGAGGAGAGUGGAAUUCCAUGUGUAGCGGUGAAAUGCGUAGAUAUAUGGAGGAACACCAGUGGCGAAGGCGACUCUCUGGUCUGUAACUGACGCUGAGGUUCGAAAGCGUGGGUAGCAAACAGG
This 429-nucleotide ribosomal RNA is filed under the name Bacteroidota bacterium. RNAcentral's name for it is "Bacteroidetes bacterium partial 16S ribosomal RNA". It matches the Rfam family "Bacterial small subunit ribosomal RNA", at positions 355 to 776 of the family's 1533-position model. The record is from RNAcentral. Lineage: Bacteria; Pseudomonadati; Bacteroidota.